GGGAACCAUGAGGCCUGAGCCCCGGGGGAGUGGUCACCAGGCAAAGGACCGACAGGCCCUGGAAAGAGGCGAGGACAGGAGCAGGACGGCCACCGGCCAAGUGGGGCGAGGCACAACAGGCCGUCCUUCCUCCUCUGAGCUCCGGCUUCCCACACUGUGAGAGGCCCAAGGCCCCUCGUGGAGCAAAGCUAUGGGGGGUGAAGGUGGGAGCUGCCGUGAUGGUCCUUGUGCGGCAGGGAAGUUGACUGGGGGGGUGGGAACCCCCGAAGGCAAUGGGCCCUGCCUAGAGUCCUGAGAUGUGAGCGUCCCCAGGCCUGCAGACCAGGUUCUGGGACCUCCGCAGACGGCACAGAGGCUGGGACCUGACCUUGGCCUCUAUGGAGGGGGUCCCGGGGGUCGUGGGUGGAAUCAGAGUGUGUGGGAAGGAAGGUGACUGCGCUGUCCCCCCAACCGCCCUGCAGGGGUGAGCUCUGAGACCUUCCUUGAGAAGAUGGUGGCAGGAGAGGUGCCCUCAAUUGCCAUCAGCCUGAAGGUGGCUUAUCCAUGUCUAAAAAUAGUGGCUACGGGCUCUGCAGUGUGGCCUGCUGCGAUAAUAGCAGUUGUCGGGAUCGCUGGGGUCGCCGGGGUCAUCUUAUAUCAAAAAAAGAUGAAAACGCACAAUAAAAUGGAAUAGAAAAUCCAUUGACAAGAAUCAUCUCCAAGCCCUGGACAGACAGGAGAGCCAGAUGUGGGGACAGAUGUGCUGUGAGGACAUGUGUGACAAUUUGGGUAUGACCAAAGUAAAAAAAGUCCUGGAAUACACAUGUAUCGAGUGCUUAUUCUGAGCCUGAGUCUUUUCCAGAACUGGGCUCUGAGUCUCGGGUUUCCAGAUCCUUCGAGGCCCAGCUGCGACCCUACCAGCCCCCACCUGGCCCGUCCGUGAGACUUGGACCAGCACCUGCGGGAGUCCAGGGGUACUUGCGGCAGCAGCUUUAGAGCAAGAGGAGGGAGGCCAAGGAGAGGGCUGUCAGGGGAGUGGCCAUCACGAGAGGACGUUGUCUGCAAACAGGCGGACGAGCAGCCAGAAAAUAGGGGCGGCCGGAGGGAGGGGUCCGCGCG
This 1098-nucleotide long non-coding RNA is filed under the name Sus scrofa (pig). RNAcentral describes it as "lncRNA (ENSSSCG00005001622.1)". The record is from RNAcentral. Lineage: Eukaryota; Metazoa; Chordata; Mammalia; Artiodactyla; Suidae.